RNAcentral lists this RNase P RNA (344 nucleotides) under Gaiella sp. RNAcentral's name for it is "RNase P RNA component class A". It matches the Rfam family "Bacterial RNase P class A". Rfam says of the family: Ribonuclease P (RNase P) is a ubiquitous endoribonuclease, found in archaea, bacteria and eukarya as well as chloroplasts and mitochondria. The record is from RNAcentral. Lineage: Bacteria; Bacillati; Actinomycetota; Thermoleophilia; Gaiellales; Gaiellaceae.
AAUGCAGGCCGGGUGGCCGCGGGCGGCCUCGGCCGUCCGAGGAAAGUCCGGACACCGCAGGGCAGGACGCUGGGGAAACCCCAGGCGGCGAAAGCCGACGGAAAGUGGAACAGAGAGGAGACCGCCGGUCACGCGACCGGUAAGGGUGAAACGGUGGGGUAAGAGCCCACCAGCGACCGUGGUGACACGGCCGGCUCGCCAAACCCCGUCCGGUGCAAGGCGAAGCAGGUCCCGUUGACGUGGCCCGCCGAGGGACCGGGUACGCCGCUCGAGCCUCCGGGGAACCGAAGGCCCAGAUGGAUGGCCAUCCACGACAGAAUCCGGCUUACAGGCCUGCUACGGAA